GAUGAACGCUGGCGGCGUGCCUAAUACAUGCAAGUCGAGCGAACAGAUAAGGAGCUUGCUCCUUUGACGUUAGCGGCGGACGGGUGAGUAACACGUGGGUAACCUACCUAUAAGACUGGAAUAACUCCGGGAAACCGGGGCUAAUGCCGGAUAACAUUUAGAACCGCGUGGUUCUAAAGUGAGAGAUGGUUUUGCUAUCACUUAUAGAUGGACCCGCGCCGUAUUAGCUAGUUGGUAAGGUAACGGCUUACCAAGGCAACGAUACGUAGCCGACCUGAUAGGGUGAUCGGCCACACGGGAACGUAGACACGGUCCAGACGCCUACGGGAGGCAGCAGUAGGGAAUCUUCCGCAAUGGGCGGAAGCCUUACGGAGCAACGCCGCGUGAGUGAUGAAGGUCUUCGGAUCGUAAAACUCUGUUAUUAGGUAAGAACAAAUGUGUAAGUAACUGUGCACGUCUUGACGGUACCUAAUCAGAAAGCCACGGCUAACUACGUG
This 497-nucleotide ribosomal RNA is filed under the name uncultured bacterium. Its description in RNAcentral is "partial 16S ribosomal RNA". It matches the Rfam family "Bacterial small subunit ribosomal RNA", at positions 28 to 507 of the family's 1533-position model. The record is from RNAcentral.